GAUGAAGAACGCAGUGAAAUGCGAUAAGUAAUGUGAAUUGCAGAAUUCAGUGAAUCAUCGAAUCUUUGAACGCACAUUGCGCCCGCUAGUAUUCUGGCGGGCAUGCCUGUCCGAGCGUCAUUUCAACCCUCAAGCCCCCGGGCUUGGUGUUGGGGAUCGGCGAGCCUCCGCGCCCGCCGUCCCCUAAAUCUAGUGGCGGUCUCGCUGUAGCUUCCUCUGCGUAGUAGCACACCUCGCACUGGGAAACAGCGCGGCCACGCCGUUAAACCCCCAACUUCUGAACGUUUGACCUCGGAUCAGGUAGGAAUACCCGCUGAACUUAAGCAUAUCAAUAAGGAAGA
Molecule: unclassified non-coding RNA, 341 nt
Filed under: soil metagenome
Description: partial contains 5.8S ribosomal RNA, internal transcribed spacer 2, and large subunit ribosomal RNA
Rfam family: 5.8S ribosomal RNA (bases 1-120)
Source: RNAcentral